UUUUAUGGAGAGUUUGAUCCUGGCUCAGGAUGAACGCUGGCGGCGUGCCUAAUACAUGCAAGUCGAGCGAACAGACGAGGAGCUUGCUCCUCUGACGUUAGCGGCGGACGGGUGAGUAACACGUGGAUAACCUACCUAUAAGACUGGGAUAACUUCGGGAAACCGGAGCUAAUACCGGAUAAUAUAUUGAACCGCAUGGUUCAAUAGUGAAAGACGGUUUUGCUGUCACUUAUAGUUGGAUCCGCGCCGCAUUAGCUAGUUGGUAAGGUAACGGCUUACCAAGGCAACGAUGCGUAGCCGACCUGAGAGGGUGAUCGGCCACACUGGAACUGAGACACGGUCCAGACUCCUACGGGAGGCAGCAGUAGGGAAUCUUCCGCAAUGGGCGAAAGCCUGACGGAGCAACGCCGCGUGAGUGAUGAAGGUCUUCGGAUCGUAAAACUCUGUUAUUAGGGAAGAACAAAUGUGUAAGUAACUAUGCACGUCUUGACGGUACCUAAUCAGAAAGCCACGGCUAACUACGUGCCAGCAGCCGCGGUAAUACGUAGGUGGCAAGCGUUAUCCGGAAUUAUUGGGCGUAAAGCGCGCGUAGGCGGUUUUUUAAGUCUGAUGUGAAAGCCCACGGCUCAACCGUGGAGGGUCAUUGGAAACUGGAAAACUUGAGUGCAGAAGAGGAAAGUGGAAUUCCAUGUGUAGCGGUGAAAUGCGCAGAGAUAUGGAGGAACACCAGUGGCGAAGGCGACUUUCUGGUCUGUAACUGACGCUGAUGUGCGAAAGCGUGGGGAUCAAACAGGAUUAGAUACCCUGGUAGUCCACGCCGUAAACGAUGAGUGCUAAGUGUUAGGGGGUUUCCGCCCCUUAGUGCUGCAGCUAACGCAUUAAGCACUCCGCCUGGGGAGUACGACCGCAAGGUUGAAACUCAAAGGAAUUGACGGGGACCCGCACAAGCGGUGGAGCA
This 958-nucleotide ribosomal RNA is filed under the name Staphylococcus epidermidis. Its description in RNAcentral is "bacterial SSU rRNA". It matches the Rfam family "Bacterial small subunit ribosomal RNA", at positions 1 to 939 of the family's 1533-position model. Lineage: Bacteria; Bacillati; Bacillota; Bacilli; Caryophanales; Staphylococcaceae. The record is from RNAcentral.